This 83-nucleotide ribosomal RNA is filed under the name Monopterus albus (swamp eel). The record is from RNAcentral. Lineage: Eukaryota; Metazoa; Chordata; Actinopteri; Synbranchiformes; Synbranchidae.
CCGGGGGGCCACACUGCCCUGGCCGUGCCCAAUCUCAUAUGACCUUGGAAGCUAAGCAAGGCAGGGCCUGGUCAGCACCUGGA